This 712-nucleotide long non-coding RNA is filed under the name Phasianus colchicus (ring-necked pheasant). RNAcentral's name for it is "lncRNA (ENSPCLG00000011286.1)". Lineage: Eukaryota; Metazoa; Chordata; Aves; Galliformes; Phasianidae. The record is from RNAcentral.
CUAAAAGCUGGCCUCUGGUAACGAAUAUUGGCUGUUGGCCUCUGGGUUCUUUAGAAAACUCAUCCAGGGCUUCAGUGAUGCAGUUAAACUGCCAUGUAAGGGCACACUGGUCGGUCCUCAUGAAAGCACUGCUGGAAAAGAUGUGUAAUUAAUGCAUUCUUCUUCGUCAGAGAGUGUUGUUUCUUGUGGCAUCACUUCUGUUGUGUUUUCUUGCAGUGACCCAAAAACCUGGCUGCUUUGGAAAGUGGAUAGUAUUGGCAAUCAAAGAAAUAUGAGUGAUGUUUUGCACCUCAAGACUUCAUUCUGUAAGAUGUAUCGACGGGAUUGCCUACCUGUAACUCAGCUUUGUAAGCAACCUCCUGAGGUUAGCCACGGUGGUAUUACUUCCUUGUGCUUUGCCAGCCCUGCAAGCCAGCCAAGUCUGUUAAAGCCUUCAGAGCACAAAGCACUGAUAAGAUGGAUCCCUAACAGUCAUGCAACUGUGGAAAAUAGCAUUAUCACCAGUGUGUCCUUUGCUUUAAAACCCAACGAGAAGCUACUUCCAUUAAUCCUAUGUUGGCACAGAGCUCUGUGGUUAUCAUUUACAUGUAGAGAGGAGCACAGCUCUGUAGCUGAGCACCAGCCUGGAAGGCUUUCCCUCCUCCAGAGGACUCCAAGCAAGUCAUUAGCUUCUCCACAGCUGUUCCACAUAUGUGAAAUAAAGCCAAGGUGA